GAUGAACGCUGGCGGCGUGCCUAAUACAUGCAAGUCGAGCGAACAGACGAGGAGCUUGCUCCUCUGACGUUAGCGGCGGACGGGUGAGUAACACGUGGAUAACCUACCUAUAAGACUGGGAUAACUUCGGGAAACCGGAGCUAAUACCGGAUAAUAUAUUGAACCGCAUGGUUCGAUAGUGAAAGACGGUUUUGCUGUCACUAUAGAUGGAUCCGCGCCGCAUUAGCUAGUUGGUAAGGUAACGGCUUACCAAGGCAACGAUGCGUAGCCGACCUGAGAGGGUGAUCGGCCACACUGGAACUGAGACACGGUCCAGACUCCUACGGGAGGCAGCAGUAGGGAAUCUUCCGCAAUGGGCGAAAGCCUGACGGAGCAACGCCGCGUGAGUGAUGAAGGUCUUCGGAUCGUAAAACUCUGUUAUUAGGGAAGAACAAAUGUGUAAGUAACUAUGCACGUCUUGACGGUACCUAAUCAGAAAGCCACGGCUAACUACGUG
RNAcentral lists this ribosomal RNA (496 nucleotides) under uncultured bacterium. RNAcentral's name for it is "partial 16S ribosomal RNA". It matches the Rfam family "Bacterial small subunit ribosomal RNA", at positions 28 to 507 of the family's 1533-position model. The record is from RNAcentral.